GACGAACGCUGGCGGCGUGCUUAACACAUGCAAGUCGAACGGUAAGGCCCUUCGGGGUACACGAGUGGCGAACGGGUGAGUAACACGUGGGUGAUCUGCCCUGCACUUCGGGAUAAGCCUGGGAAACUGGGUCUAAUACCGGAUAGGACCACUGCCUGCAUGGGUGGUGGUGGAAAGCUUUUGCGGUGUGGGAUGGGCCCGCGGCCAAUCAGCUUGUUGGUGGGGUGAUGGCCUACCAAGGCGACGACGGGUAGCCGGCCUGAGAGGGUGACCGGCCACACUGGGACUGAGAUACGGCCCAGACUCCUACGGGAGGCAGCAGUGGGGAAUAUUGCACAAUGGGCGCAAGCCUGAUUCAGCGACGCCGCGUGAGGGAUGACGGCCUUCGGGUUGUAAACCUCUUUCAGCACCGACGAAGCGCAAGUGACGGUAGGUGCAGAAGAAGGACCGGCCAACUACGUGCCAGCCGCCGCAGUAA
Molecule: ribosomal RNA, 478 nt
Filed under: uncultured bacterium
Lineage: Bacteria
Description: partial 16S ribosomal RNA
Rfam family: Bacterial small subunit ribosomal RNA
Source: RNAcentral